RNAcentral lists this ribosomal RNA (433 nucleotides) under uncultured bacterium. Its description in RNAcentral is "partial 16S ribosomal RNA". It matches the Rfam family "Bacterial small subunit ribosomal RNA", at positions 29 to 507 of the family's 1533-position model. The record is from RNAcentral.
AACGAACGCUGGCGGCAUGCCUAACACAUGCAAGUCGAACGAGACCUUCGGGUCUAGUGGCGCACGGGUGCGUAACGCGUGGGAAUCUGCCCUUGGGUUCGGAAUAACUCGCCGAAAGGCGUGCUAAUACCGGAUGAUGACGUAAGUCCAAAGAUUUAUCGCCCAAGGAUGAGCCCGCGUUGGAUUAGCUAGUUGGUUAGGUAAAGGGUCACCAAGGCGAGGAUCCAUAGCUUGGUUGAGAGGAUGAUCAGCCACACUGGGACUGGGAAACGGCCCAGACUCCUACGGAAGGCAGCAGUGGGGAAUAUUGGACAAUGGGCGAAAGCAUGAUCCAGCAAUGCCGCGUGAGUGAUGAAGGCCUUAGGGUUGUAAAGCUCUUUUACCCGGGAUGAUAAUGACCGUACCGGGAGAAUAAGCUCCGGCUAACUCCGUG